Molecule: ribosomal RNA, 603 nt
Filed under: Arachnomyces nitidus
Lineage: Eukaryota; Fungi; Ascomycota; Eurotiomycetes; Onygenales; Arachnomycetaceae
Description: eukaryotic LSU rRNA
Rfam family: Eukaryotic large subunit ribosomal RNA
Source: RNAcentral
CAAUAAGCGGAGGAAAAGAAACCAACAGGGAUUGCCCCAGUAACGGCGAGUGAAGCGGCAAGAGCUCAAAUUUGAAAUCUGGCCCCCUCGGGGCCCGAGUUGUAAUUUGCAGAGGAUGCUUCGGGUCCGGCCCCGGUCUAAGUCCCCUGGAACGGGGCGUCAUGGAGGGUGAGAAUCCCGUCUGGGAUCGCCGGCCGGGCCCGUGUGAAGCUCCUUCGACGAGUCGAGUUGUUUGGGAAUGCAGCUCCAAAUGGGUGGUAAAUUUCAUCUAAAGCUAAAUACUGGUCGGAGACCGAUAGCGCACAAGUAGAGUGAUCGAAAGAUGAAAAGCACUUUGAAAAGAGAGUUAAACAGCAUGUGAAAUUGUUGAAAGGGAAGCGCUUGCGACCAGACUCGCCCGCGGGGGCUCAGCCGGCAUUCUUGCCGGUGCACUCCCCCGCGGUCGGGCCAGCGUCGGUUUGGGCGGUCGGUCAAAGGCCCCCGGAAUGUGUCGCCUCUCGGGGCGUCUUAUAGCCGGGGGUGCAAUGCGGCCUGCCUGGACCGAGGAACGCGCUUCGGCACGGACGCUGGCGUAAUGGUCGUAAGCCGCCCGUCUUGAAACAC